RNAcentral lists this ribosomal RNA (468 nucleotides) under uncultured bacterium. Its description in RNAcentral is "partial 16S ribosomal RNA". It matches the Rfam family "Bacterial small subunit ribosomal RNA", at positions 28 to 507 of the family's 1533-position model. The record is from RNAcentral.
GACGAACGCUGGCGGCGUGCUUAACACAUGCAAGUCGAACGGAAAGGCCCUGCUUUUGUGGGGUGCUCGAGUGGCGAACGGGUGAGUAACACGUGAGUAACCUGCCCUUGACUUUGGGAUAACUUCAGGAAACUGGGGCUAAUACCGGAUAGGAGCUCCUGCUGCAUGGUGGGGGUUGGAAAGUUUCGGCGGUUGGGGAUGGACUCGCGGCUUAUCAGCUUGUUGGUGGGGUAGUGGCCUACCAAGGCUUUGACGGGUAGCCGGCCUGAGAGGGUGACCGGCCACAUUGGGACUGAGAUACGGCCCAGACUCCUACGGGACGCAGCAGUGGGGAAUAGUGCACAAUGGGAGGAAGCCUGAUGCAGCAACGCCGCGUGCGGGAUGACGGCCUUCGGGUUGUAAACCGCUUUCGCCUGUGACGAAGCGUGAGUGACGGUAAUGGGUAAAGAAGCACCGGCUAACUACGUG